Molecule: ribosomal RNA, 398 nt
Filed under: uncultured Lachnospiraceae bacterium
Lineage: Bacteria; Bacillati; Bacillota; Clostridia; Lachnospirales; Lachnospiraceae
Description: bacterial SSU rRNA
Rfam family: Bacterial small subunit ribosomal RNA
Source: RNAcentral
UGGGGAAUAUUGCACAAUGGAGGAAACUCUGAUGCAGCGACGCCGCGUGAGUGAAGAAGUAAUUCGUUAUGUAAAGCUCUAUCAGCAGGGAAGAUAAUGAUGGUACCUGACUAAGAAGCUCCGGCUAAAUACGUGCCAGCAGCCGCGGUAAUACGUAUGGAGCAAGCGUUAUCCGGAUUUACUGGGUGUAAAGGGUGCGCAGGUGGCGUGGCAAGUCAGAAGUGAAAAACCCGGGGCUCAACCCCGCGGACUGCUUUUGAAACUGUCAUGCUGGAGUCCAGGAGAGGUAAGCGGAAUUCCUAGUGUAGCGGUGAAAUGCGUAGAUAUUAGGAGGAACACCAGUGGCGAAGGCGGCUUACUGGACUGGUACUGACACUGAGGCACGAAAGCGUGGGGAG